Molecule: ribosomal RNA, 408 nt
Filed under: uncultured bacterium
Lineage: Bacteria
Description: partial 16S ribosomal RNA
Rfam family: Bacterial small subunit ribosomal RNA
Source: RNAcentral
GACGAACGCUGGCGGCGUGCUUAACACAUGCAAGUCGAACGAAGUGGCGAACGGGUGAGUAACGCGUAAUCAACCUGCCCUUCAGAGGGGGACAACAGUUGGAAACGACUGCUAAUACCGCAUACUGAAGGAGGGGAUUGCGUCUGAUUAGCUAGUUGGAGGGGUAACGGCCCACCAAGGCGAUGAUAAGUAGCCGGGCUUGGAGGGUGAACGGCCCCAUUUGGACCGGGGACCGGCCCCAACCUCUACGGGAGGCCGGCGGGGGGAAUCUUCCGCAAUGGACGAAAGUCUGACGGAGCAACGCCGCGUGAGUGAUGACGGCCUUCGGGUUGUAAAGCUCUGUUAAUCGGGACGCGGUACCGGAAUAGAAAGCCACGGCUAACUACGUGCCAGCAGCCGCGGUAAUUC